AACGAACGCUGGCGGCGCGCCUAAUACAUGCAAGUCGAGCGAGAAGGUGUAGCAAUACACUUGUAAAGCGGCGAACGGGUGAGGAAUGCAUGGGUAACCUACCCUCGAGUGGGGAAUAACUAGCCGAAAGGUUAGCUAAUACCGCAUACGUUUCCGGAACUUCGGUUUCGGAAAGAAAGCAAUACCGUGGGUAUUGCGCUCCUGGAUGGGCUCAUGUCCUAUCAGCUUGUUGGUGAGGUAACGGCUCACCAAGGCUUCGACGGGUAGCUGGUCUGAGAGGACGAUCAGCCACACUGGCACUGCCGACACGGGCCAGACUCCUACGGGA
RNAcentral lists this ribosomal RNA (328 nucleotides) under uncultured bacterium. RNAcentral describes it as "bacterial SSU rRNA". It matches the Rfam family "Bacterial small subunit ribosomal RNA", at positions 29 to 346 of the family's 1533-position model. The record is from RNAcentral.